This 1173-nucleotide ribosomal RNA is filed under the name Saccharomyces cerevisiae (brewer's yeast). Lineage: Eukaryota; Fungi; Ascomycota; Saccharomycetes; Saccharomycetales; Saccharomycetaceae. The record is from RNAcentral.
AUGAAAUUAAAAUUAUUAAAUAUAAUUUUAUCAAUAAUAAAUAAACUUAAUAAUAAUAAUAAUAUUAUUAUUAAUAAUCUAUUAGAUUCAUUAAUAAAUAAGAAAUUAUUAUUAAAGAAUAUAUUAUUAAAUAUAAAUAAUAAAAAAAUAAAUAAUAUAAAAAGAAUAUUAAAUAAUAAUAAUAUAAAUAUUAAUAAUAAAUUACAACAUUUAAAUAAUAUAAAUAAUUGAAAUCUACAAAUUUAUAAUUAUAAUAAAAAUAUAGAAAUUAUAAAUACUAUAAAUGAUAAAUUAAUUAAUAAAUUAUUAUAUAAAAUAAUAACUUUAAAAUUAAAUAAUAUAAAUAUUAAUAAAAUUAUUAUAAGUAAACUUAUUAAUCAACAUAGUUUAAAUAAAUUAAAUAUUAAAUUUUAUUAUUAUAAUAAUGAUAUUAAUAAUAAUAAUAAUAAUAAUAAUAAUAAUAAUAAUAAUAAUUAUUAUAUAAAUAUAAUAAAUAAAUUAAUAAAUAUUAUAAAUAAUAAUAUAAAUAAUAAUUUAUGUAAUAUUUUAAGUUAUUAUUAUAAUAAAAAAGUAACUAUUGAACCUAUUAAAUUAUCAUAUAUUUAUUUAAAUAGUGAUAUUUUUAGUAAAUAUAUUAGUUUAAAUGAUAUAGAUAAAUAUAAUAAUGGUAUCUUAACUAAUUAUCAACGUAUAUUAAAUAAUAUUAUGCCUAAAUUAAAUGAUCAUAAUAUUUCUAUAAAUUAUAUUAAUAAUAUUAAUAAUAUUAAUAAUAAUAAAUAUAAUAAUAUAAUUAAUUUAUUAAAUAAUAAUAAUAAUAAUAAUAAUAUUAAUAAUAAUAAUAAUAAUUAUAAUAAUAAUAAUAAUAAUUAUAUUGGUAAUAUUAAUAAUAUUUAUAAUAAUAUAACUAUUGAUAAUAUUCCUAUAGAUAUUUUAAUAUAUAAAUAUUUAGUUGGUUGAUCUAUUAAAUUUAAAGGUAGAUUAAGUAAUAAUAAUGGUAGAACUAGUACACUUAAUUUAUUAAAUGGUACUUUUAAUAAUAAAAAAUAUUUAUGAAGUAAUAUUAAUAAUAAUUAUAAAUUAAAUUAUAUCCCUUCUAAUCAUAAUUUAUAUAAUAAUUCUAAUAUUAAUAAAAAUGGUAAAUAUAAUAUUAAAGUUAAAUUAAACUUUAUUUAA